This is a long non-coding RNA of Corvus hawaiiensis (hawaiian crow), 2787 nucleotides long. RefSeq lists it as uncharacterized. The record is from RefSeq and is a predicted model, not a curated record. NCBI's taxonomy places the organism in Eukaryota, Metazoa, Chordata, Aves, Passeriformes, Corvidae. The transcript is spliced from 2 exons.
CGGGCGCUGCCCGGGGACCCCGCCGUGUGUGGUCCGCGACCGGCUCCGGUCCGGGGGGCCCCAAGGCUUGCCCUGCCGCCUGCUGCUUCGCGGCCCUCAUGCGUCGCGAUCCCCAGAGGUGUUUUGGAACCGACAAUGAGCCGCUUGGUCAGUACCAAGGGCUGAGGAACAACCACAGGUCUGUGUUCACCACAAAAACUGCCUUCUGUUUUUCGAGUCCCUGCUCUCUAUCCCUUUGCAAGGUUGGGCAUGAGGUGGAAUUCCAGAGCUACUUCUGUAGCGCUGAUGAGAACAGGGGAAGUGGAACGACUGAGGUUUGGCGGCUGUGGAGCCCCUCAGAAGCCGCCACGGUGUUGUGUCUAUGCCGUGUCUUUGGAAGAAAACCUAAUUAAUUGUGACUGGAAAUCUCACCCAAAUACAGCCAUUUUUGAUGGCAUGCUUUUCCAUGGAUUCAGCUGUACAGAACUGUGGGGAAUCUGUAGCCAAUAAAUGAACAAUGCACCAAAUGUGGGAAACCAGCCCGGUUUUGGCCACAAUAGCUCUGUGCCUUCGAUACUGUCAUUCUGUGAACACCCACCUCUUUUUCCAGAGCAGCACAACUGGUCUAUAUGGAACAUACUGGGAAGCCAAGUGGGUGAUUGUCUGCACUGUUUAUUUUUAUGUAAGUAUUUUAUGUAAAUGGCAGACUAUACAAACAAAAUGGAGAUAUCGGGAAAGUAAUCUUAAAGUAUUCAACAGCAAGCAGUAGGAUUUGUUAUUUGGAGAACAAGCCCUGUACUUACCUCCCAUUGAAAUCGCCUGUACUUGACAAAUUUUCUUAAGGGUGGAGAAAAUACAAGGCUUUUGAUGAAAAAUAGCUGAAAUUAUUCCCUUUAAACCAGAAAGAAUUGGUGCAUGGAAGAAAUAGUGAUUUGAAAAAUCCAUUUGCUAUAGGCAUGCAGUAUUUUCUUGAAGUCCUUAAUAGCUGGAAACUCCUCUGUUCUGUUAUUUUGUGCCCUGUUCCCUACCUUCCCUGAAUAUAUUGCCCUUAGUAAUGAAUCCUUAAGUAACAGCACUAUCACUCCUUCUCUUGGCAAAAUGUGUGACUUUUUAAGAAAUAAGUUUCUAAGUAAAACUACUUUCAGUGUAUUUAUUUGCAGAAAGCAAGUUUAUGGAGUCUUUUGGCAGCAACUCAGCACACAAUGCCUGUCUAAAGAGUAACUAAGGAUGAGAAGCUUAACUAUUUGGACACUUACAAAUGGGGACAGCACCUGCUCAAAUGUCUCCUUAAACCUUUUAUUGAAGCAUGGUAUCACACUUUCAGCUAGUAAAGUUUUCCUCUCACUUUUCAAAGGGCAGUUGACAGCACUGGAAAACUUCUCUCAGCACACAUAGAUUGCAGCAUUGAUGGCAGAUACUAGGAAGGAUGAACAAGGAUUAGCUCUCACAGUGGUACAGGAUGGGCCUUAUCUCCAGAUAACAAGCCUAAUUGAAAAAAGCUCUGCAGCUAAUGAUGGAAAGCUGAAACCAAGUAAAAAGAACCAAUAGUGAUAUUAAAAGUUAAUAGCAUUGAAAAUAUCCUUGUUCUGCAUUUAUGCUUUGAGCCUGUCUCUGAUUUCUUUACACUUACACAGAUCAAAAGAAACUCAGUUUAAAAUUACAGAGAAAAGAAACUAGCACAAACUGUAUAAAGCUCAGUGCCAGCAUUCCACUGUGAUGAAAUACCUGUGAUCUUAAAAUAGCUGAUACAGUAACUGUUCCAUAAUCAGAUCAAGAUUUAAGUCUGUACAUUGUUCUCCAGCAAAAACAGAUUUCCUAUUCACCAGCAGAUUUUUCCAAAAAAUAUUUUGACUAUUACCUUUAUGUAACAACUAAACUUGAAUAAUAUAAUUCUUUAUUCAGUGCAUUAUUGUUCAAGUAAUUUCACUCGACAAGUAACACAAAUCUUCCCAAGGCUUGAAAUUAAUUUGCUUUUUAUUUCUCUUUAUUACAGAGUAGUUACAAAGUGGCAAUGGACUAAUCUCUGUGCUUUAAUAAUCCACACAGGUGUUCAUUUGCUAAAUGUUUUAAAUGAAAUGAACCGUGUCAGUACUAGCAGAGUAUUACCAGUUAUUAAAGGUUUCUUGUGGAACAUCUGACACCUGUAUUAAACUUGAAAUUGAAAGCUCUGUAAAUGUGAGUGCUUCACAUGGGUCCCCAGCCCAAUUACAUUAAACUCAUGAACUAGUUUGGGGAAGAUACUGUGCUAUGGUAAUUCCCAGCAUGAAAUUGUCUCUAACAUUGAAAUCUAUGAAGCGAAAACUGGAGCGUAAUGAAGUAAUUUAGAAAUUUACUGCCUGUACAGGUAAAAUGCAUAUCUUUAAAUUAGAACAAUUUUCCUAGCAAUGCCUUUAUAGUUUGGGCAGUCCUUUCUUCAGAAUUGCAAGCGCCACGAAGAAAUAUCUACUUGCUUGAUGAAAUAAAAUCCAUCCAGUUCUUAGCCUCUUCUUAGGAAAAAGGCUUUGCACUUUUGAUCUGAGUAUAAAAAUCAGUGGAAAAAUCUAGAGAACAAAUUUGAACUUAUUAUUAUUUUCUUAGGACAUGAUAGCUCAUCCAUUCCCUGAAAAAAAAUCCCUUUGAUUUACAAAAGUAUAUAUAUGAUACUGAUUUGGUUGUUGGUUUGUUUGGGUUUUUUCCAUCUAUAAUUAGAAUACUAAUCAUUGAAUAUUAAGAAUAUGCAUCACUGAAACUAAGUAGUUCUAUUUGCAACAAUUUGAAGAAGGCAAGCUCCAAAAGCAUUUUCAAUAAAGGCUACAAGGAGUCAAAUUA